GCGCACUCGCUCGCUGGUCGAGUGGGGGAGAUGAUGCCGUCAACUCUCUAUGGGUCUGUGUGUGCAAUGCUGCGAUCAAGCACAUUCAUAUGUCCAGUUACCCAAGCGAAACAGUGGAGUUUGAAUGAAUGAUGAGACCACGUACGAGAUGCAGAACUGGGUUGCUUCUGACCCAGAAUCUGUGCUGGUGGAACUCAUUGCUGAUGUCCCCUGGAGUGUCAGCACUGGCUGUUCUAGUUCUUCAAAAGAAGGCCAUUUUCUGAGGUUUCACUCCAAGCAUCUGCAAUGCAAGUUGUUGAGAAUUAGGACUUUGAAGGACAAGGUCUUUGGCAUGCUUGUCCAUUAAAAAGUCUCCAGCGUGUUUGCAUGUUUUCCAAAGGUCUGUUUAAUGUUUUUGUCAAAUCCUGCUUUUGUUUAAUCCACUUCCUUCCACAAUGUGGUUUAGUUCUUUUCUAAUUAAAUGAACAUAAGUGAAAUCUUGUGAUCCACUUGUGUGUUUAGGACUUUGGGGAGCAACCUCUUGCUUUCUGCCCAGUGACAAGUGAUGACCUAUUUUCCUCAGUCUCCAAACAGCACUGCGCUCAGCAGAAAUUAAGAGGAAAGGCAUUGCUAACACAGUGUCCAGAUGCGAUGGACUGCAUUGAUAACCAAUGAAUUGGUUCCCCCCCUCCCCCAUGCAAUUAAGAGGUUUUGUUUUAACCAGCCACAAUGAGCUGCAAGACAUUUUGUUUAUCGGCUUAUACUGUAUUUCUGUAGCAUCACACUGGGUAGCCCCGCCCACAGUGGAAUCCCAUUGGCCAAAUCCUGCUCUGCAUAACUGUACUGUAUAUCAAACAUUAAAUAUGUCCUGACUGACUGUGAUUUCAAUUUCAUUGUGGCAGACUGUGCCUGUUAAAGACAUGGUUGUUGUACAAACUUAUGUUGUAUUGAUUAAAUUGACAUCAAAAUGAGGUCAUGAUAAAAUUACAUUUAAAUGGC
Molecule: long non-coding RNA, 978 nt
Filed under: Sinocyclocheilus grahami
Lineage: Eukaryota; Metazoa; Chordata; Actinopteri; Cypriniformes; Cyprinidae
Description: lncRNA (ENSSGRG00000018461.1)
Source: RNAcentral